GACGAACGCUGGCGGCGUGCUUAACACAUGCAAGUCGAACGGAAAGGCCCUGCUUUUGUGGGGUGCUCGAGUGGCGAACGGGUGAGUAACACGUGAGUAACCUGCCCUUGACUUUGGGAUAACUUCAGGAAACUGGGGCUAAUACCGGAUAGGAGCUCCGGCUGCAUGGUGGGGGUUGGAAAGUUUCGGCGGUUGGGGAUGGACUCGCGGCUUAUCAGCUUGUUGGUGGGGUAGUGGCUUACCAAGGCUUUGACGGGUAGCCGGCCUGAGAGGGUGACCGGCCACAUUGGGACUGAGAUACGGCCCAGACUCCUACGGGAGGCAGCAGUGGGGAAUAUUGCACAAUGGGCGGAAGCCUGAUGCAGCAACGCCGCGUGCGGGAUGACGGCCUUCGGGUUGUAAACCGCUUUCGCCUGUGACGAAGCGUGAGUGACGGUAAUGGGUAAAGAAGCACCGGCUAACUACG
RNAcentral lists this ribosomal RNA (466 nucleotides) under uncultured bacterium. Its description in RNAcentral is "partial 16S ribosomal RNA". It matches the Rfam family "Bacterial small subunit ribosomal RNA", at positions 28 to 505 of the family's 1533-position model. The record is from RNAcentral.